RNAcentral lists this ribosomal RNA (295 nucleotides) under Klebsiella pneumoniae. RNAcentral's name for it is "partial 16S ribosomal RNA". It matches the Rfam family "Bacterial small subunit ribosomal RNA", at positions 585 to 879 of the family's 1533-position model. Lineage: Bacteria; Pseudomonadati; Pseudomonadota; Gammaproteobacteria; Enterobacterales; Enterobacteriaceae. The record is from RNAcentral.
AAGUCGGAUGUGAAAUCCCCGGGCUCAACCUGGGAACUGCAUUCGAAACUGGCAGGCUAGAGUCUUGUAGAGGGGGGUAGAAUUCCAGGUGUAGCGGUGAAAUGCGUAGAGAUCUGGAGGAAUACCGGUGGCGAAGGCGGCCCCCUGGACAAAGACUGACGCUCAGGUGCGAAAGCGUGGGGAGCAAACAGGAUUAGAUACCCUGGUAGUCCACGCCGUAAACGAUGUCGAUUUGGAGGUUGUGCCCUUGAGGCGUGGCUUCCGGAGCUAACGCGUUAAAUCGACCGCCUGGGGA